AAAUUGAAGAGUUUGAUCAUGGCUCAGAUUGAACGCUGGCGGCAGGCCUAACACAUGCAAGUCGAGCGGUAGCACAGAGAGCUUGCUCUCGGGUGACGAGCGGCGGACGGGUGAGUAAUGUCUGGGAAACUGCCUGAUGGAGGGGGAUAACUACUGGAAACGGUAGCUAAUACCGCAUAACGUCGCAAGACCAAAGUGGGGGACCUUCGGGCCUCAUGCCAUCAGAUGUGCCCAGAUGGGAUUAGCUAGUAGGUGGGGUAACGGCUCACCUAGGCGACGAUCCCUAGCUGGUCUGAGAGGAUGACCAGCCACACUGGAACUGAGAGACGGUCCAGACUCCUACGGGAGGCAGCAGUGGGGAAUAUUGCACAAUGGGCGCAAGCCUGAUGCAGCCAUGCCGCGUGUGUGAAGAAGGCCUUCGGGUUGUAAAGCACUUUCAGCGGGGAGGAAGGCGAUAAGGUUAAUAACCUUGUCGAUUGACGUUACCCGCAGAAGAAGCACCGGCUAACUCCGUGCCAGCAGCCGCGGUAAUACGGAGGGUGCAAGCGUUAAUCGGAAUUACUGGGCGUAAAGCGCACGCAGGCGGUCUGUCAAGUCGGAUGUGAAAUCCCCGGGCUCAACCUGGGAACUGCAUUCGAAACUGGCAGGCUAGAGUCUUGUAGAGGGGGGUAGAAUUCCAGGUGUAGCGGUGAAAUGCGUAGAGAUCUGGAGGAAUACCGGUGGCGAAGGCGGCCCCCUGGACAAAGACUGACGCUCAGGUGCGAAAGCGUGGGGAGCAAACAGGAUUAGAUACCCUGGUAGUCCACGCCGUAAACGAUGUCGAUUUGGAGGUUGUGCCCUUGAGGCGUGGCUUCCGGAGCUAACGCGUUAAAUCGACCGCCUGGGGAGUACGGCCGCAAGGUUAAAACUCAAAUGAAUUGACGGGGGCCCGCACAAGCGGUGGAGCAUGUGGUUUAAUUCGAUGCAACGCGAAGAACCUUACCUGGUCUUGACAUCCACAGAACUUUCCAGAGAUGGAUUGGUGCCUUCGGGAACUGUGAGACAGGUGCUGCAUGGCUGUCGUCAGCUCGUGUUGUGAAAUGUUGGGUUAAGUCCCGCAACGAGCGCAACCCUUAUCCUUUGUUGCCAGCGGUUAGGCCGGGAACUCAAAGGAGACUGCCAGUGAUAAACUGGAGGAAGGUGGGGAUGACGUCAAGUCAUCAUGGCCCUUACGACCAGGGCUACACACGUGCUACAAUGGCAUAUACAAAGAGAAGCGACCUCGCGAGAGCAAGCGGACCUCAUAAAGUAUGUCGUAGUCCGGAUUGGAGUCUGCAACUCGACUCCAUGAAGUCGGAAUCGCUAGUAAUCGUAGAUCAGAAUGCUACGGUGAAUACGUUCCCGGGCCUUGUACACACCGCCCGUCACACCAUGGGAGUGGGUUGCAAAAGAAGUAGGUAGCUUAACCUUCGGGAGGGCGCUUACCACUUUGUGAUUCAUGACUGGGGUGAAGUCGUAACAAGGUAACCGUAGGGGAACCUGCGGUUGGAUCACCUCCUUACCUUAAAGAA
RNAcentral lists this ribosomal RNA (1550 nucleotides) under Klebsiella pneumoniae. RNAcentral's name for it is "bacterial SSU rRNA". It matches the Rfam family "Bacterial small subunit ribosomal RNA". The record is from RNAcentral. Lineage: Bacteria; Pseudomonadati; Pseudomonadota; Gammaproteobacteria; Enterobacterales; Enterobacteriaceae.